Long non-coding RNA from Monopterus albus (swamp eel), 887 nucleotides. RefSeq lists it as uncharacterized. The transcript is spliced from 2 exons. Lineage: Eukaryota; Metazoa; Chordata; Actinopteri; Synbranchiformes; Synbranchidae. The record is from RefSeq and is a predicted model, not a curated record.
UUUGCUGAGGAACAGGGUGGGAUACGAGCAAAGGCUCUGGGAAUAACUAAACAAGUGGACUUCACAAUGUUUACUGCAUACUAUCACGAAUAACAAACAGUUUAGAGUGAAGGCAGCUAUGGCUACAACAUCCCAAAGAAGAAAAUGUUGUAAUGACCCAGAUAUAUUUUGCUAUAUCUGUGGGAACUUCACUUUGAAGGACCAAAGGCGCCACAUAAAUACCUUUGUCAAGAAGGCGUACCUGGAGACCAGGACAAAAUAUGACAAAACAUCAUUAAUGAUCCUCUUGUUCAGAGAAAAAAGAUUGUCCUACCUCCACUGCACAUAAAACCUGGUUUGAUGAAACAAUUUGUUAAAGCCCUGCAUCACAAUGGAGACUGCUUCCGCCACAUAUGUUCAACCUUUCCAAGUCUGAGUGACGAGAAGAAAAAGGCAGGAAUAUUUGAUGGACCUCAGAUAAGAACACUCCUCAGAGAUGCCCACUCUGUGACAACAAUGAACACGAAAGCUUGGAAUGCUUUCUCUGAUGUGUUAAAGAAUUUCCUUGGGAACAGGAAAGCUGACAACUACCAAGAGAUUGUGGAGGAACUGCUCUUGAGUUUUCAAUCACUUGGAUGUAAAAUGAGUAUCCCGUUGCACUACUUAGAUUGUCACUUGAGUGAGUUUCCAGAGAACCUGGGUGAUGUUAGUGAAUAACAAGGUGAAUGCUUUCAUCAAGACAUUAAAGUAAUGGAAGAACAUUACCAAGGCAGAUGGGACUCCAAUAUGAUGGCUGAUUACUGUUGGAGCUUGAGGGAUGUGCCAAACACUGAGGAUCAUAGAAUGUCAAAGAAGAGGAAGUUAAUGCAGCUGUAGCUCGAUCUAAACUAAUAAACUUAUUGUAUCUU